GGGGACCCAAUUAAGGGCGUGUGGAGGAUGCCUUGACACUAAAAGGCGAUGAAGGUCGUGGCGUGACUGCGAUAAGCUUCGGGGAGCCGUCUAGCGGGCUUUGAUCCGGAGAUGACCGAAUGGGGAAACCCAAUCAGAGUUAUGUCUGAUUACCUGUCGUGUUUUACGCGAUGGG
Molecule: ribosomal RNA, 175 nt
Filed under: bacterium
Lineage: Bacteria
Description: partial 23S ribosomal RNA
Rfam family: Bacterial large subunit ribosomal RNA
Source: RNAcentral